RNAcentral lists this transfer RNA (89 nucleotides) under Paludibacteraceae bacterium. RNAcentral's name for it is "tRNA-Leu". It matches the Rfam family "tRNA". Rfam says of the family: Transfer RNA (tRNA) molecules are approximately 80 nucleotides in length. The record is from RNAcentral. Lineage: Bacteria; Pseudomonadati; Bacteroidota; Bacteroidia; Bacteroidales; Paludibacteraceae.
GCCGCGAUGGUGGAAUCGGUAGACACGAAGGACUUAAAAUCCUUUGGCCAGUGAUGGCUGUGUGGGUUCAAGUCCCACUCGCGGUACCA